Molecule: ribosomal RNA, 468 nt
Filed under: uncultured bacterium
Lineage: Bacteria
Description: partial 16S ribosomal RNA
Rfam family: Bacterial small subunit ribosomal RNA
Source: RNAcentral
GACGAACGCUGGCGGCGUGCUUAACACAUGCAAGUCGAACGGAAAGGCCCUGCUUUUGUGGGGUGCUCGAGUGGCGAACGGGUGAGUAACACGUGAGUAACCUGCCCUUGACUUUGGGAUAACUUCAGGAAACUGGGGCUAAUACCUGAUAGGAGCUCCUGCUGCAUGGUGGGGGUUGGAAAGUUUCGGCGGUUGGGGAUGGACUCGCGGCUUAUCAGCUUGUUGGUGGGGUAGUGGCUUACCAAGGCUUUGACGGGUAGCCGGCCUGAGAGGGUGACCGGCCACAUUGGGACGGAGAUACGGCACAGACUCCUACGGGAGGCAGCAGUGGCGAAUAUUGCACAAUGGGCGGAAGACUGAUGCAGCAACGCCGCGUGCGGGAUGACGGCCUUCGGGUUGUAAACCGCUUUCGCCUGUGACGAAGCGUGAGUGACAGUAAUGGGUAAAGAAGCACCGGCUAACUACGUG